GGAUGGGUGUCUGAGCGGUUGAAAGUACCGGUCUUGAAAACCGGCGUAUUGUCAUGCAAUACCGGGGGUUCAAAUCCCUCCCCAUCCA
This is a transfer RNA of Klebsormidium nitens, 88 nucleotides long. It matches the Rfam family "tRNA". Rfam says of the family: Transfer RNA (tRNA) molecules are approximately 80 nucleotides in length. Their secondary structure includes four short double-helical elements and three loops (D, anti-codon, and T loops). The record is from Rfam. NCBI's taxonomy places the organism in Eukaryota, Viridiplantae, Streptophyta, Klebsormidiophyceae, Klebsormidiales, Klebsormidiaceae.